GGCUACCUGGCGCAAUGGUAGCGCGUUUGGCUUCGAUUGCUAGAUAGGUUACCAAAAGGUUGCAGGUUCGAGUCCUGCGGUGGUCA
RNAcentral lists this transfer RNA (86 nucleotides) under Lentinula boryana. RNAcentral's name for it is "tRNA-Arg". It matches the Rfam family "tRNA". From Rfam's summary of the family: Transfer RNA (tRNA) molecules are approximately 80 nucleotides in length. Lineage: Eukaryota; Fungi; Basidiomycota; Agaricomycetes; Agaricales; Omphalotaceae. The record is from RNAcentral.